CAUGGCACACGAUAUUGGCACGGCUCAAUCAAACUAAAGGAUCCAAAUCUUUUUGGAAAUUUGAUUUGAUUGAGCCAUUCCAACAUCAUAAUAUGCCUG
RNAcentral lists this microRNA precursor (99 nucleotides) under Olea europaea subsp. europaea. Lineage: Eukaryota; Viridiplantae; Streptophyta; Magnoliopsida; Lamiales; Oleaceae. The record is from RNAcentral.